This 585-nucleotide ribosomal RNA is filed under the name Triticum aestivum (bread wheat). RNAcentral describes it as "partial small subunit ribosomal RNA". The record is from RNAcentral. Lineage: Eukaryota; Viridiplantae; Streptophyta; Magnoliopsida; Poales; Poaceae.
AUGCCUAACCUAUACGGCUGCAUCCCCAAGCGACGACGGACGACGAGAACAGUGGCGGACGGGCUCAAUGGCAACUCCUGGGCACGCGACAUCCAAGGCAACCUCGGCCUCCACGAGAUUGGUCAGUAUCUGCAGCUCUGGCAGAUCAUGCAGCGCGCCGAGCUCUCCGCCACACCGGACAGGUUGAUCUGGAGAUGGACAGCGAGCGGCAACUACUCCGCGCAGUCCUGCUACAUGGCCACCUUCCAUGGAUCAACGGUCUGCUAUUCCUGGAAGAUAAUCUGGAAAUGCUGGGCACCGCUGAGAGUCAAGUUCUUCCACUGGCUGGCCAACCAGGACCGGUGCUGGACUGCAGAGAGGGUGGCUCGUCACGGACUCCAGCAUCACCCCCGCUGCCUCCUGUGUGACCAGCAGCCGGAAACGUUGCGACAUCUGCUGCUGGAAUGUCCCCUCGCCCGACAGGCAUGGCACGAGACACUGGCCUGGCUACGCAUCCAGCCCCGACCCCCACGCAGGAACUGUCGCUUAUGGACUGGUGGAAACAUGCCAAGGACGACACGCCGCCGAUCCUACGCAAGGCCCUGA